GACGAACCGAGCGAACGUUGUUCGGAAUCACUGGGCUUAAAGGGCGCGUAGGCGGGUGCUCAAGUCCGGGGUGAAAUCCUCCAGCUCAACUGGAGAACUGCCUCGGAUACUGGGCGUCUCGAGGGUGGCAGGGGUAUGCGGAACUAUCGGUGGAGCGGUGAAAUGCGUUGAUAUCGAUAGGAACUCCGGUGGCGAAGGCGGCAUACUGGUCCACUUCUGACGCUGAGGCGCGAAAGCCAGGGGAGCAAACGGG
RNAcentral lists this ribosomal RNA (253 nucleotides) under uncultured bacterium. Its description in RNAcentral is "partial 16S ribosomal RNA". It matches the Rfam family "Bacterial small subunit ribosomal RNA", at positions 524 to 776 of the family's 1533-position model. The record is from RNAcentral.